Cinara cedri is the source of this 288-nucleotide non-coding RNA. Lineage: Eukaryota; Metazoa; Arthropoda; Insecta; Hemiptera; Aphididae. The record is from the annotation of a GenBank genome assembly.
CUAAAUGGCAUACGUAUAUUUUUGUACAUUCUUACACACGUGUCGUACUGGAAAUUAAAAUUUCUUAAGUCACUACAAUAAUAUGAUGUAGUACUUUGUGUAUGACAAAAAAUGCACAAGUCGAAUCGUAGUCCAAUGACUUGAGGUCGUUGAGCGUCUGCAUUUAGGUUUGACCGUUUUUGGCCGUUCGAAGCAACCGUGUCAUAAUGUCGUGUAGCGAGAUUUCGAACGUAAUUCGUUCGAAUAUGAACACUAAAACAAUAAUUUAUUGUCUCCGGGCCAUUUUUC